This 497-nucleotide ribosomal RNA is filed under the name uncultured bacterium. Its description in RNAcentral is "partial 16S ribosomal RNA". It matches the Rfam family "Bacterial small subunit ribosomal RNA", at positions 28 to 507 of the family's 1533-position model. The record is from RNAcentral.
GAUGAACGCUGGCGGCGUGCCUAAUACAUGCAAGUCGAGCGAACGGACGAGAAGCUUGCUCCUCUGACGUUAGCGGCGGACGGGUGAGUAACACGUGGAUAACCUACCUAUAAGACUGGGAUAACUUCGGGAAACCGGAGCUAAUACCGGAUAAUAUUUUGAACCGCAUGGUUCAAUAGUGAAAGACGGUUUUGCUGUCACUUAUAGAUGGAUCCGCGCUGCAUUAGCUAGUUGGUAAGGUAACGGCUUACCAAGGCAACGAUGCAUAGCCGACCUGAGAGGGUGAUCGGCCACACUGGAACUGAGACACGGUCCAGACUCCUACGGGAGGCAGCAGUAGGGAAUCUUCCGCAAUGGGCGAAAGCCUGACGGAGCAACGCCGCGUGAGUGAUGAAGGUCUUCGGAUCGUAAAACUCUGUUAUUAGGGAAGAACAAAUGUGUAAGUAACUGUGCACGUCUUGACGGUACCUAAUCAGAAAGCCACGGCUAACUACGUG